Molecule: ribosomal RNA, 422 nt
Filed under: uncultured bacterium
Lineage: Bacteria
Description: bacterial SSU rRNA
Rfam family: Bacterial small subunit ribosomal RNA
Source: RNAcentral
UAAGGAAUAUUGGUCAAUGGACGCAAGUCUGAACCAGCCAUGCCGCGUGCAGGAUGACGGCCCUCUGGGUUGUAAACUGCUUUUAUCUGGGACGAAAAACGGACUUUCUAGUUCACUUGACGGUACCAGAGGAAUAAGCACCGGCUAACUCCGUGCCAGCAGCCGCGGUAAUACGGAGGGUGCAAGCGUUAUCCGGAUUUACUGGGUUUAAAGGGUGCGUAGGUGGGCAGGUAAGUCAGUGGUGAAAUCUUCAAGCUUAACUUGGAAACUGCCAUUGAUACUAUUUGUCUUGAAUAUCCCGGAGGUAAGCGGAAUAUGUCAUGUAGCGGUGAAAUGCUUAGAUAUGACAUAGAACACCCAUUGCGAAGGCAGCUUACUACAGGAUUAUUGACACUGAGGCACGAAAGCGUGGGGAUCAAACA